GUAAAGCAAGCCACACAAUUUUUUGUUUUCCCAAUGCAUAUACACCACACAUAGUCUAUUAAGUAUGAAAUAGCAUUAUGGCUAAAAAUAUAUAUACUUAAUUGAAAAUACUUCAUUGCUAAAAAAAAAUCAAAUGCUAA
Aethalodelphis obliquidens (Pacific white-sided dolphin) is the source of this 140-nucleotide long non-coding RNA. RefSeq lists it as uncharacterized. The transcript is spliced from 3 exons. The record is from RefSeq and is a predicted model, not a curated record. NCBI's taxonomy places the organism in Eukaryota, Metazoa, Chordata, Mammalia, Artiodactyla, Delphinidae.